Molecule: ribosomal RNA, 484 nt
Filed under: uncultured bacterium
Lineage: Bacteria
Description: partial 16S ribosomal RNA
Rfam family: Bacterial small subunit ribosomal RNA
Source: RNAcentral
AUUGAACGCUGGCGGCAGGCCUAACACAUGCAAGUCGAGCGGAUGAAGGGAGCUUGCUCCUGGAUUCAGCGGCGGACGGGUGAGUAAUGCCUAGGAAUCUGCCUGGUAGUGGGGGAUAACGUCCGGAAACGGGCGCUAAUACCGCAUACGUCCUUAGGGAGAAAGUGGGGGAUCUUCGGACCUCACGCUAUCAGAUGAGCCUAGGUCGGAUUAGCUAGUUGGUGGGGUAAAGGCCUACCAAGGCGACGAUCCGUAACUGGUCUGAGUGGAUGAUCAGUCACACUGGAACUGAGACACGGUCCAGACUCCUACGGGAGGCAGCAGUGGGGAAUAUUGGACAAUGGGCGAAAGCCUGAUCCAGCCAUGCCGCGUGUGUGAAGAAGGUCUUCGGAUUGUAAAGCACUUUAAGUUGGGAGGAAGGGCAGUAAGUUAAUACCUUGCUGUUUUGACGUUACCAACAGAAUAAGCACCGGCUAACUUCGUG